RNAcentral lists this ribosomal RNA (497 nucleotides) under uncultured bacterium. Its description in RNAcentral is "partial 16S ribosomal RNA". It matches the Rfam family "Bacterial small subunit ribosomal RNA", at positions 28 to 507 of the family's 1533-position model. The record is from RNAcentral.
GAUGAACGCUGGCGGCGUGCCUAAUACAUGCAAGUCGAGCGAACAGACGAGGAGCUUGCUCCUCUGACGUUAGCGGCGGACGGGUGAGUAACACGUGGAUAACCGACCUAUAAGACUGGGAUAACGUCGGGAAACCUGAGCUAAUACCGGAUAAUAUAUUGAACCGCAUGGUUCAAUAGUGAAAGACGGUUUUGCUGUCACUUAUAGAUGUAUCCGCGCCGCAUUAGCUAGUUGGUAAGGUAACGGCUUACCAAGGCAACGAUGCGUAGCCGACCUGAGAGGGUGAUCGGCCACACUGGAACUGAGACACGGUCCAGACUCCUACGGGAGGCAGCAGUAGGGAAUCUUCCGCAAUGGGCGAAAGCCUGACGGAGCAACGCCGCGUGAGUGAUGAAGGUCUUCGGAUCGUAAAACUCUGUUAUUAGGGAAGAACAAAUGUGUAAGUAACUAUGCACGUCUUGACGGUACCUAAUCAGAAAGCCACGGCUAACUACGUG